Molecule: non-coding RNA, 72 nt
Organism: Aedes aegypti (yellow fever mosquito)
Lineage: Eukaryota; Metazoa; Arthropoda; Insecta; Diptera; Culicidae
Source: Rfam
GUAGGUGUAGUAUAAUUGGUAAUGCGCCCGUGUACAGAUUGGAAAUUGUGGGUUUAAGUCCCGUCGACUACA